This 259-nucleotide ribosomal RNA is filed under the name uncultured prokaryote. Its description in RNAcentral is "partial 16S ribosomal RNA". It matches the Rfam family "Bacterial small subunit ribosomal RNA", at positions 524 to 782 of the family's 1533-position model. The record is from RNAcentral.
UACGGAGGGUCCAAGCGUUAUCCGGAUUUAUUGGGUUUAAAGGGUGCGCAGGCGGUUCGUUAAGUUAGAGGUGAAAUCCCGUGGCUCAACCACGGAACUGCCUCUGAUACUGGCGGGCUAGAGAGAGGUUGCUGUGGGCGGAAUGUGUGGUGUAGCGGUGAAAUGCUUAGAGAUCACACAGAACACCGAUUGCGAAGGCAGCUCACAAAGCCUCAUUUGACGCUCAUGCACGAAAGCGUGGGGAGCAAACAGGAUUAGA